Molecule: ribosomal RNA, 468 nt
Filed under: uncultured bacterium
Lineage: Bacteria
Description: partial 16S ribosomal RNA
Rfam family: Bacterial small subunit ribosomal RNA
Source: RNAcentral
GACGAACGCUGGCGGCGUGCUUAACACAUGCAAGUCGAACGGAAAGGCCCUGCUUUUGUGGGGUGCUCGAGUGGCGAACGGGUGAGUAACAAGUGAGUAACCUGCCCUUGACUUUGGGAUAACUUCAGGAAACUGGGGCUAAUACCGGAUAGGAGCUCCUGCUGCAUGGUGGGGGUUGGAAAGUUUCGGCGGUUGGGGAUGGACUCGCGGCUUAUCAGCUUGUUGGUGGGGUAGUGGCUUACCAAGGCUUUGACGAGUAGCCGGCCUGAGAGGGUGACCGGCCACAUUGGGACUGGAAUACGGCCCAGACUCCUGCGGGAGGCAGCAGUGGGAAAUAUUGCACAAUGGGCGGAAGCCUAAUGCAGCAACGCCGCGUGCGGGAUGACGGCCUUCGGGUUGUAAACCGCUUUCGCCUGUGACGAAGCGUGAGUGACAAUAAUGGGUAAAGAAGCACCGGCUAGCUACGUG